RNAcentral lists this ribosomal RNA (492 nucleotides) under uncultured bacterium. Its description in RNAcentral is "partial 16S ribosomal RNA". It matches the Rfam family "Bacterial small subunit ribosomal RNA", at positions 29 to 507 of the family's 1533-position model. The record is from RNAcentral.
AGUGAACGCUGGCGGUAGGCCUAACACAUGCAAGUCGAACGGCAGCACAGUAAGAGCUUGCUCUUACGGGUGGCGAGUGGCGGACGGGUGAGGAAUACAUCGGAAUCUACUUUUUCGUGGGGGAUAACGUAGGGAAACUUACUCUCAUACCGCAUACGCCCUACGGGUGAAAGCAUGGGAUCUUCGGACCUUGCGCGAUUGAAUGAGCCGAUGUCGGAUUAGCUAGUUGGCGGGGUAAAGGCCCACCAAGGCGACGAUCCGUAGCUGGUCUGAGAGGAUGGUCAGCCACACUGGAACUGAGACACGGUCCAGACUCCUACGGGAGGCAGCAGUGGCGAAUAUGAGACAAUGGGCGCAAGCCUGAUCCAGCGAUACCGAGUGGGUGAAGAAGGCGUUCGGGUUGUAAAGCCCUUUUGUUGGGAAAGAAAAGCAGCAGGUUAAUACCCCGCUGUUCUGACGGUACCCAAAGAAUAAGCACCGGCUAACUUCGUG